This 500-nucleotide ribosomal RNA is filed under the name uncultured bacterium. Its description in RNAcentral is "partial 16S ribosomal RNA". It matches the Rfam family "Bacterial small subunit ribosomal RNA", at positions 30 to 523 of the family's 1533-position model. The record is from RNAcentral.
AUUGAACGCUGGCGGCAGGCCUAACACAUGCAAGUCGAGCGGAUGACGGGAGCUUGCUCCUUGAUUCAGCGGCGGACGGGUGAGUAAUGCCUAGGAAUCUGCCUGGUAGUGGGGGACAACGUUUCGAAAGGAACGCUAAUACCGCAUACGUCCUACGGGAGAAAGCAGGGGACCUUCGGGCCUUGCGCUAUCAGAUGAGCCUAGGUCGGAUUAGCUAGUUGGUGGGGUAAUGGCUCACCAAGGCGACGAUCCGUAACUGGUCUGAGAGGAUGAGCAGUCACACUGGAACUGAGACACGGUCCAGACUCCUACGGGAGGCAGCAGUGGGGAAUAUCGGACAAUGGGCGAAAGCCUGAUCCAGCCAUGCCGCGUGUGUGAAGAAGGUCUUCGGAUUGUAAAGCACUUUAAGUUGGGAGGAAGGGCAGUAAGCUAAUACCUUGCUGUUUUGACGUUACCGACAGAAUAAGCACCGGCUAACUCUGUGCCAGCCGCCGCCGUAA